Molecule: ribosomal RNA, 498 nt
Filed under: uncultured bacterium
Lineage: Bacteria
Description: partial 16S ribosomal RNA
Rfam family: Bacterial small subunit ribosomal RNA
Source: RNAcentral
GACGAACGCUGGCGGCGUGCCUAAUACAUGCAAGUCGAACGAGAGCGACCGGUGCUUGCACUGGUCAAUCUAGUGGCGAACGGGUGAGUAACACGUGGGUAACCUGCCCAUCAGAGGGGGAUAACAUUCGGAAACGGAUGCUAAAACCGCAUAGGUCUUCGAACCGCAUGGUUUGAAGAGGAAAAGAGGCGCAAGCUUCUGCUGAUGGAUGGACCCGCGGUGCAUUAGCUAGUUGGUGAGGUAACGGCUCACCAAGGCCGUGAUGCAUAGCCGACCUGAGAGGGUGAUCGGCCACAUUGGGACUGAGACACGGCCCAAACUCCUACGGGAGGCAGCAGUAGGGAAUCUUCCGCAAUGGACGCAAGUCUGACGGAGCAACGCCGCGUGAGUGAAGAAGGUUUUCGGAUCGUAAAACUCUGUUGUUAGAGAAGAAUAAGUGCUAGAGUAACUGUUAGCGCCUUGACGGUAGCUAACCAGAAAGCCACGGCUAACUACGUG